CCAAAAUGAAGAGUAAAUCAAAUGGCCUCACUUCAAAGAGCAAUAAAUGUGGAAAUAAAAAAAUCAUAUUGUUCAAAUUCACUUUAAUUAAUUUUACAUUUUAUGUCAGACAAUUUGUUAUUGUUGAGGUAACUUACGAACUUUCAGCCUGUUAAUAUUAUAGGAUCAUUGUUUUUAAAGUGCUACCAUCGAUAUUCAUUCUGCCUCCUUUUGUCAAAAUUUCCUACACUUAUCUUUGAUAAUCAAGACUUUAGUCACGUGCUCCACGUGUACCGCGAGCAGACACAACUUAUGAAUCAAUAACACUGCCAGACGUGUCACUUGGAUGAUCAGACACUGCACACUAGCCCGCUAGAAUCCGGUGUGUUUCAUCGCGGUGUUUGGACAGGUUACUGCUGUUCCCGCCCUCACAAACCAUGUUAUGUUACUUUAGAAACAACGCGCUGUCUGCGUGUACUUCACAAAAAUACAGACAUAGCUCGGACCUUUUCGCUCGCGGCCGCUCUGCCUCUCACGUGUUCUCACCUGUGGAGCAGGUGGAGAGCGCGCGCAAGGAGCCCCGCCCCUCUCCACUGCAAAGAGGCAGCGGGGAAAGUGACUCUGUGCUCGCGCUGAACCGCGCAACUAUGUUUUAGGCAUUUAGACAAAAGGUGCACGCGCCCUGUCAGCUAAGAUAUAACAGAUAAUAGAAAAACAUCAGUGACGCAGACUCUUGUUUUCACCAUGAAGCGCUGAGCUGGCGGCCCCUUUGAUUUGCCGCCCCGAGCACAGACAGGCUUUCUCCCAGACAUAUUUACAAAAAAAAAAAAA
Molecule: long non-coding RNA, 810 nt
Organism: Oryzias melastigma (Indian medaka)
Lineage: Eukaryota; Metazoa; Chordata; Actinopteri; Beloniformes; Adrianichthyidae
Exons: 2
Source: RefSeq, a predicted model, not a curated record